Molecule: RNase P RNA, 414 nt
Filed under: Flavobacteriales bacterium
Lineage: Bacteria; Pseudomonadati; Bacteroidota; Flavobacteriia; Flavobacteriales
Description: RNase P RNA component class A
Rfam family: Bacterial RNase P class A
About the family: Ribonuclease P (RNase P) is a ubiquitous endoribonuclease, found in archaea, bacteria and eukarya as well as chloroplasts and mitochondria. Its best characterised activity is the generation of mature 5'-ends of tRNAs by cleaving the 5'-leader elements of precursor-tRNAs. Cellular RNase Ps are ribonucleoproteins.
Source: RNAcentral
CCUGUGCAUCGCUCCAUCGCUCCGGUCCUUCGGGCCGGGGAGGAAAGUCCGGGCAGCUUAGGGCAACGUGCUUCCUAACGGGAAGGGGAGGGGUCAGGAACGGCCCUUCCACGGAAAGUGCCGCAGAAAGGGAGACCGCCGAAUCCUGAGUGAUCGGGAUGGUAAGGAUGAAAAGGUGAGGUAAGAGCUCACCAGCAUGCCGUGUGAGCGGCGUGGCUUGGUAAACCCCACGUGCUGAAAGACCAUGUAUACCGGAGGCUUCGAAAUGCAGAAGCAGGGAAAGCCCGUCCCCCUGAAGCAAGAGGGUGCCGGAGGGUAGGUCGCUCGAUCGGCAUGGUAACGUGUCGGCCAGAUAGAUGAUGGAGGUCCGCCGUAAGGUGGAUACAGGACCCGGCUUAUAGAUGCACAGGCUUU